CGGGGACAUGCAGGCUCCCCAUUAGACGGCCGCUUCCGUCCAAGCUCUGC
Molecule: non-coding RNA, 50 nt
Filed under: unclassified sequences
Description: chromate-resist RNA
Rfam family: chrB-b RNA
Source: RNAcentral